GAUGAACGCUGGCGGCGUGCCUAAUACAUGCCAGUCGAGCGAACGGACGAGAAGCUUGCUUCUCUGAUGUUAGCGGCGGACGGGUGAGUAACACGUGGAUAACCUACCUAUAAGACUGGGAUAACUUCGGGAAACCGGAGCUAAUACCGGAUAAUAUUUUGAACCGCAUGGUUCAAAAGUGAAAGACGGUCUUGCUGUCACUUAUAGAUGGAUCCGCGCUGCAUUAGCUAGUUGGUAAGGUAACGGCUUACCAAGGCAACGAUGCAUGGCCGACCUGAGAGGGUGAUCGGCCACACUGGAACUGAGACACGGUCCAGACUCCUACGGGAGGCAGCAGUAGGGAAUCUUCCGCAAUGGGCGAAAGCCUGACGGAGCAACGCCGCGUGAGUGAUGAAGGUCUUCGGAUCGUAAAACUCUGUUAUUAGGGAAGAACAUAUGUGUAAGUAACUGUGCACAUCUUGACGGUACCUAAUCAGAAAGCCACGGCUAACUACGU
RNAcentral lists this ribosomal RNA (496 nucleotides) under uncultured bacterium. RNAcentral's name for it is "partial 16S ribosomal RNA". It matches the Rfam family "Bacterial small subunit ribosomal RNA", at positions 28 to 506 of the family's 1533-position model. The record is from RNAcentral.